GCUACCUGCAGUCGAGCGGUAACAGGAAGCGCUUGCUGCUUCGCUGACGAGUGGCGGACGGGUGAGUAGUGUCUGGGAAACUGCCUGAUGGAGGGGGAUAACUACUGGAAACGGUAUCUAAUACCGCAUAGCGUCGCAAGACCAAAGAGGGGGACCUUCGGGCCUCUUGCCAUCGGAUGUGCCCAGAUGGGAUUAUCUAGUAGGUGGGGUAACGGCUCACCUAGGCGACUAUCCCUAUCUGGUCUGAGAGGAUGACCACCCACUCUGGAACUGAGACACGGUCCACACUCCUACGGGAGGCAGCAGUGGGGAAUAUCGCACAGUGGGCGCAAGCCUGAUGCACCCAUGCCGCGUGUAUGAAAAAGGCCUUCGGGUUGUAAAGUACUUUCAGCGGGGAGGAAGGGAGUAAAGUUAAUACCUUUGCUCAUUGACUUUCCCCGCAAAAAAAGCACCGGCUAACUCCGUGCCAGCACCCGCGGUAAUACAGAGGGUGCAAGCGUUAAUCAGAAUUACUGGGCGUAAAGCGCACGCAGGCGGUUUGUUAACUCAUAUGUGAAAUCCCCGGGCUCAACCUGAGAACUGCUUCUGAUACUGGCGAGCUUGACCCUCGUAGAGGGGGGUAAAAUUCCAUGUGUAGCGGUGAAAUGCGUAGAUAUCUGGAAGAAUACCGGUGGCGAGCGCGGCCCCCUGCACAAACACUGACGCUCAUGUGCGAAAGCGUGGAGAGCACA
RNAcentral lists this ribosomal RNA (731 nucleotides) under uncultured Shigella sp. RNAcentral's name for it is "bacterial SSU rRNA". It matches the Rfam family "Bacterial small subunit ribosomal RNA", at positions 50 to 772 of the family's 1533-position model. Lineage: Bacteria; Pseudomonadati; Pseudomonadota; Gammaproteobacteria; Enterobacterales; Enterobacteriaceae. The record is from RNAcentral.